Heterocephalus glaber (naked mole-rat) is the source of this 973-nucleotide non-coding RNA. The record is from RefSeq and is a predicted model, not a curated record. NCBI's taxonomy places the organism in Eukaryota, Metazoa, Chordata, Mammalia, Rodentia, Bathyergidae.
AGAAAAAGAAGGGAGCCACAUCUUGCAAGACCAUCCUGGCUUACAACAUAAAGGCGCAGCAAGGUUUGCUCACAAGCUGAAGGCAGUUGUGUUGUAGCUGAGAUGUGAGGUUGAAAGGGGAACAAAGGAUUGAAGAAGUUAGGGCAUGGUGGCUAAUCCUUGCUCCCUUCCAACUGUUCAUCUGCCCCAGCUUCAGGAUUAUGGCUAGAAAAGUAACCUUCAGGUCCUACCAAGUGGAGCAGGCUUAGAGAGCAAGCAAAGCCCGGGAAGAUUCAUUUCUAUUUUUCAAUUCUCUUCCUACCCACCACCUGGUGUCACUGACUAAAGCCAGUGCAGCCUCUAGCUCCCAAGCUCCAGCUAAAGGAGAAGUGGAUAGGUAAGUUGAAGGUCUCUCUAUUUAUGUUUUAAAACAGGGGCUCAGUAUGUUCCCCAUGAUGGCCCUGAACUUGUGAUCCUCCUGGCUCAGCCUCAUGAGUAGCUGGAAGGUUUCAAUACCAUGGUUUACAUGAAACAGACCACCCACAAUGACCUUGUAGUAAAAAAACCCAGGAAGCAACUGGCCACAGGAGCCACUGGCAAGAGUAUACCUUCUACUGGAGAGGGAAGAAACCUCACAUUACAAGCCUGAUGCCUUGGGGCUCUGUGAAAUCAGAUGUUAUCAGAAGUCUGCUGAACUUCUGAUUUACACAUUUUCUUUCCAUUAUCUGGUACAAGAAAUUGCUCAAGGCUUCAAAACAUAUCUGAGCUUCCAGAGUGCAGCUCCUGGUGCUUUGUAGGGGGCAGAUGAGGACUAUGUAGUUAGCCUUCUUGAGAAUACAACCUGUGUGUUAUCCAGGCCAACAGUGCAAAUUUGGGGCAAAGGACAUUCAGAGGAUGCUACAUACUUGGAGAGCAUGCUUAAGAAUCCAUGGAGAUGGAAAUGUUUCAUUCUCACACACACACACAAAUAAAAAGAUUUUUCUUCUUCCUGUUA